UGAAGAAGAUUUAGAUAAUCUUGAACAAUUUGAAGCGGACUUUAUUAAUACCGGAAGAGAGCCUUGCAUCGUUGACAUGUAGAAGUGUUGCAGAACUUGAAAGCGUGCCAGGAAUCAGGAUUGAGUGCGAUGGCC
Nicotiana tabacum (common tobacco) is the source of this 135-nucleotide non-coding RNA. NCBI's taxonomy places the organism in Eukaryota, Viridiplantae, Streptophyta, Magnoliopsida, Solanales, Solanaceae. The record is from RefSeq and is a predicted model, not a curated record.